RNAcentral lists this ribosomal RNA (501 nucleotides) under uncultured bacterium. RNAcentral describes it as "partial 16S ribosomal RNA". It matches the Rfam family "Bacterial small subunit ribosomal RNA", at positions 29 to 523 of the family's 1533-position model. The record is from RNAcentral.
AGUGAACGCUGGCGGCGUGCCUUACACAUGCAAGUCGAACGGAUUGAAGGGGCUUGCUCCUUCAGUUAGUGGCGAACGGGUGAGUAAAGCAUCGGAACGUACCCAGUCGUGGGGGAUAACGUAGCGAAAGUUACGCUAAUACCGCAUACGAUCUGAGGAUGAAAGCGGGGGAUCGCAAGACCUCGCGCGAUUGGAGCGGCCGAUGUCGGAUUAGCUAGUUGGUGAGGUAAAGGCUCACCAAGGGGGCGAUCCGUAGCUGGUCUGAGAGGAGGAUCAGCCACACUGGAACUGAGACACGGUCCAGACUCCUACGGGAGGCAGCAGUGGGGAAUUUUGGACAGUGGGGGAAACCCUGAUACAGCCAUGCCGCGUGAGUGAAGAAGGCCUUCGGGUUGUAAAGCUCUUUCAGUCGGAAAGAAAAGGCUCCGGAUAAUACCUGGAGUUGAUGACGGUACCGACAGAAGAAGCACCGGCUAACUACGUGCCAGCAGCCGGCAGUAA